GGUAAGGUGAACCGUGGGGAGAUGGACUGGAGGCCGGAGACCAAAAUUAGAGGAUGAACUGGAGGUCCGUAUAUUGAGAGCUCGGAGGGAAUCUGAGGGCUGCUAUUAGAGAGAAAAGGCCCUCUGAUGAUCCACCCAUAACACUUCUGAUAACAGUGCUUUUCCUUUGAAGAACCUCCUUUCCUGCCAGGUGAAGGGACAUGGACCUGUAAUCCCGGUCACUUGGGAGGCUGAGACAGGAGGAUUUCAAGUUUGAGAAGAAUGUCUGAAUGGAUGCACUACUCCUCAUGUAUAAGAACCAGAAGACCAGAACUGGAGAUCUGCCUCUGGCCUGUAUUAACCAUGUGGCCCAAGACACUGCUGCUGCCUUUUGGAGCCUUGUUUUCUUCCUUUGGAAAAUGCAAAAAGUGAAAACACACGUCCUUCUCACAGAUGCUGUGAGGACUGAAAGAGAUGAUGGAUAGAA
Sciurus carolinensis (gray squirrel) is the source of this 466-nucleotide long non-coding RNA. RefSeq lists it as uncharacterized. NCBI's taxonomy places the organism in Eukaryota, Metazoa, Chordata, Mammalia, Rodentia, Sciuridae. The transcript has 3 exons. The record is from RefSeq and is a predicted model, not a curated record.